Molecule: long non-coding RNA, 672 nt
Organism: Oxyura jamaicensis (ruddy duck)
Lineage: Eukaryota; Metazoa; Chordata; Aves; Anseriformes; Anatidae
Exons: 2
Source: RefSeq, a predicted model, not a curated record
GUAGCCCCAAAACCCCACAGAAAAACCCCAAAACCCGUGGAAGUAGCCCCAAAACUACAUGGAGGUAGGCCCAACACCUUGGAGAUAGCCCCAAAACCCAUGGAAGUAGCACAAAACUACAUGGAAGUAGCCCCAAAGCCCAUGGAAGUAGCCCCAAAACCCAUGGAGGUAGCCCCAAAACCCAAUGAAGUAGCCCCAAAACCCCACAGAAAAACCCCAAAACCCGUGGAAGUAGCCCCAAAACUACAUGGAGGUAGGCCCAACACCUUGGAGAUAGCCCCAAAACCCAUGGAAGUAGCACAAAAACCCAUGGAAGUACGACGAAAACCCAAGGAAGUAGCCCCCAAACCCAUGGAAGUAGCCCCAAACCCAUGGAAGUAGCCCCAAACCCAUGGAGGUAGCCCAAAACCCCACAAAAAUACCCCCAAAACCCGUGGAAGUCGCCCCAAAACCCGAGGAAAUAGCCCCAAAACCCAUGGAGGUAGCCCCAAAACCCACAGAAUUAGCCCCAAAACCCACAGAAUUAGCCCCAAACUACAUGGAAGUAGGCCCCAAACCCAUGGAUGUAGGCCCAUAACCCGUGGAAAUAGCCCUAAAACCCGUGGAAGUAGCCCCAAAACCCAUGGAGGUAGCCCAAAACCCCACAAAAAUACCCCCAAACCUGUGGAAGUA